CGCAAGCCUGACGGAGCAAGACCGCGUGCGGGAUGACGGCCUAAUGGUUGUAAACCCCUUUUCUCUGGGAAGAAGACUGACGGUACCAGAGGAAUCAGCCUCGGCUAACUCCGUGCCAGCAGCCGCGGUAAUACGGAGGAGGCAAGCGUUAUCCGGAAUUAUUGGGCGUAAAGCGUCUGUAGGUGGUUAUUCAAGUCUGCUGUCAAAGCGUGGGGCUUAACUCCAUAGAGGCAGUGGAAACUGGAUGACUUGAGUGCGGUAGGGGUCGAGGGAAUUCCCAGUGUAGCGGUGAAAUGCGUAGAUAUUGGGAGGAACACCAGUGGCGAAAGCGCUCGACUGGGCCUGCACUGACACUGAGGGACGAAAGCUAGGGGAGCG
RNAcentral lists this ribosomal RNA (378 nucleotides) under uncultured cyanobacterium. RNAcentral describes it as "bacterial SSU rRNA". It matches the Rfam family "Bacterial small subunit ribosomal RNA", at positions 376 to 770 of the family's 1533-position model. The record is from RNAcentral. Lineage: Bacteria; Bacillati; Cyanobacteriota.